ACUCCUACGGGAGGCAGCAGUGGGGAAUAUUGCACAAUGGGGGAAACCCUGAUGCAGCCAUGCCGCGUGUGUGAAGAAGGCCUUCGGUUGUAAGCACUUUCAGUAGGGAGGAAGGUAGUGUAGUUAACACCUGCAUUAUUUGACGUUACCUACAGAAGAAGCACCGGCUAACUCCGUGCCAGCAGCCGCGGUAAUACGGAGGGUGCGAGCGUUAAUCGGAAUUACUGGGCGUAAAGCGCAUGCAGGCGGCCUGUUAAGUCAGAUGUGAAAGCCCGGGGCUUAACCUCGGAAUUGCAUUUGAAACUGGCAGGCUAGAGUCUUGUAGAGGGGGGUAGAAUUUCAGGUGUAGCGGUGAAAUGCGUAGAGAUCUGAAGGAAUACCAGUGGCGAAGGCGGCCCCCUGGACAAAGACUGACGCUCAGAUGCGAAAGCGUGGGGAGCAAACA
RNAcentral lists this ribosomal RNA (445 nucleotides) under uncultured bacterium. RNAcentral's name for it is "bacterial SSU rRNA". It matches the Rfam family "Bacterial small subunit ribosomal RNA", at positions 335 to 774 of the family's 1533-position model. The record is from RNAcentral.